GGUAGCGUGGCCGAGCGGUCUAAGGCGCUGGUUCAAGGCACCAGUCAUUUCGAUGGCGUGGGUUCGAAUCCCACCGCUGCCA
RNAcentral lists this transfer RNA (82 nucleotides) under Strongylocentrotus purpuratus (purple sea urchin). RNAcentral describes it as "tRNA-Leu (AAG) (tRNA-Leu-AAG-5-1)". It matches the Rfam family "tRNA". Rfam says of the family: Transfer RNA (tRNA) molecules are approximately 80 nucleotides in length. Their secondary structure includes four short double-helical elements and three loops (D, anti-codon, and T loops). The record is from RNAcentral. Lineage: Eukaryota; Metazoa; Echinodermata; Echinoidea; Camarodonta; Strongylocentrotidae.